GCACGAGGCUGAGCGGUUACCUGGGCCCAACUAUUCUGUACUAGCCUGGCCCGGAAACCACAGAAUUUCCCCAGAUCCACACAAGCCUCCUAGCCGAGGACGGGAGCAGCUCCUGGUGCAGAGUGGCACCUUCAGGGUCAUCCAGGCCCUGCUCACGCCCGCCAGCCCUUUGCUGAAAGAUCAAGGUCACCUCCUGCUGCCCAGGUCACCUCCUCUGCUGUCCAGGUCACUCCUCUGCUGCCCAGAUCACCUCCUGUGCUGUCCAGGUCACCUCCUCUGCUGUCCAGGUCACUCCUCUGCUGCCCAGGUCACCUCUGCUGUCCAGGCCACCUCCUCUGCUGUCCAGGUCACUUCUGCUGCCCAGGUCACCUCUGCUGUCCAGGUCACUUCUGCUGCCCAGGUCACCUCUGCUGUCCAGGUCACCUCCUCUGCUGCCCAGGUCACCUCCUCUGCUGCCCAGGUCACCUCUACUGCCCAAGUCACCUCCUCACCCAGGCAGCUGAGGGUCCCUUCAGACACCGCGCUCGUCAACCCGGAAUUCCCUGUAGGUUCUUUGGGCGGCUUCUGUUUCCGUGGUCAGCAGUCUUGGCCCGCGGGCUGUGUUGGGGCCAGCUCUGCUCUCUGCUGUGUGGCCGCAGGCCUGAGUCCUUCUGUGCGUCCCGGACGAGGCGUUCACGGCCCGUGUGCUCCUGGCCGACAUGUCGCUACCCCUGCGAGACAGGUGGCGUCCAGCCUGCACCCCGGUCAGCAAGCCUGGCCCAGUUCCGCUCCCUGCUGACGCGCAGCCCAGGGGCAGCAGCCACGGCUGCCCUGCUUGUGCCCUGCCGCCCACGUGGGAGGCCUGGAUGGAGCCCCUGCCCCUGGCCCUGGCCUGGCCCAGCCCAGCUGUUGCAGGCAUCUGGGGGUGAGGCAGUGGAGGGAGAUGUGCCGUCCCUGUCUCCCCAGCAGACAGGUAGGCGCCAUCCAGUGCGUCAGGACCUGUUUCCCUGGUGCCCUUGCGUAGGUGCUAGCAGCAGCUUUGAGGCCGUUCUCUGGGUCGACCCAGAGUCUCUGCCUGAUCUUCGUCUGGGGCCGGCACCGCGGCUCACUAGGCUAAUCCUCCGCCUGCAGCGCCAGCACCCCGGGUUCUAGUUCUGGUUGGGGUGCCGGUUCUGUCCCGAUCACUCUUCUUCCAGUCCAGCUCUCUGCUGUGGCCUGGGAGUGCAGUGGAGGAUGCCCAAGUGCUUGGGCCCUGCACCCCAUGGGAGACCAGGAGAAGCACCUGGCUCCUGGCUUCAGAUUGGCGCAUCAUGCUGGCCGUGGUGGUCACUUGAGGGGUGAACCAAUGGAAAGGAAGGCCUUUCUCUGUCUCUUUCUGACUGUCUAACUGCCUGUCAAAAAAAAAAAUUAAAAAAUUAAAACUAAUCUUCGUCUGGGACCGUGUGACGGACGUCACAUCUGGGGGUGGUGUCGUUGUACCAGGCAGUCCACUUGGGUGGGCUGAGGGUCCGCUUGCGUCCUCCCAAGCUCCCGAGAGCUCACACGGGGGCCGGGCUUGCUCCUUCCAGGAGUGCUUCCCACGUGCCAAAUAGCCGCAGGAGGCAGGGACCUUGCUGUGAGCUUGUCCCUUCUCCGGGCCGGGGCCCCUGUGUCGUGUCUGCUCCUCCGGGGCUGCUGCCGGGACAGCCCCAGCCGGCAGCCCCAGGCCCAGGAGGCCGUGAGGACGCCGGGACUGGCAGCCAGAGCCCCCGCAAGGACGGGCUGUGGCGCAGUGACAGGCGGGGGGUCGAGAGGGCAGCGUGGUGUGGGUGGCCGCUGGGCUCCAGCUUCUGGGGACCCGAGCCCUUGCUGCUUGCCGUGACUGAUGCGCACAGUCCUGGGGGUGGCUGCCGCUCUCGGGGGACAGCGUCGGGGACCCUGCUCUCCCACUGCCCGCACUGGGCCGCUGCCCACAGGGGUUCUCACCUGGGUUUUCUAAGUCGACCCCGGAGGCCACUUGUGUCAGGAGGUUGGGUCCUGGGACAGCCGCACUCAACACUGGUUAGUCCCCCCCCCUCCACUUUAGGUUUUAAAGAUUUUAAAAUUUAUUUUAUUUGAAAGGCAGAGUUACAGAUAGAAUAAGAGACAGAGAGAGAGAGAGAGAGAGGUCUUC
This 2131-nucleotide long non-coding RNA is filed under the name Oryctolagus cuniculus (rabbit). RNAcentral's name for it is "lncRNA (ENSOCUG00000037749.1)". The record is from RNAcentral. Lineage: Eukaryota; Metazoa; Chordata; Mammalia; Lagomorpha; Leporidae.